GUGUCAGCAGCCGCGGUAAUACGUAGGGUGCAGGCGUUAAUCGGAAUUACUGGGCGUAAAGCGUGCGCAGGCGGUUUGUUAAGACAGAUGUGAAAUCCCCGGGCUUAACCUGGGAACUGCGUUUGUAACUGGCAAGCUAGAGUGUGGCAGAGGGGGGUAGAAUUCCAGGUGUAGCAGUGAAAUGCGUAGAUAUCUGGAGGAAUACCGAUGGCGAAGGCAGCCCCCUGGGUUAACACUGACGCUCAUGCACGAAAGCGUGGGGAGCAAACAGGAUUAGAUACCCUGGUAGUCCACGCCCUAAACUAUGUCAACUGGUUGUCGGGGGAGCAAUCCCUUGGUAACGAAGCUAACGCGUGAAGUUGACCGCCUGGGGAGUACGGCCGCAAGGUUAAAACUCAAAUGAAUUGACGGGG
This 413-nucleotide ribosomal RNA is filed under the name uncultured prokaryote. RNAcentral describes it as "bacterial SSU rRNA". It matches the Rfam family "Bacterial small subunit ribosomal RNA", at positions 505 to 918 of the family's 1533-position model. The record is from RNAcentral.